RNAcentral lists this ribosomal RNA (467 nucleotides) under uncultured bacterium. Its description in RNAcentral is "partial 16S ribosomal RNA". It matches the Rfam family "Bacterial small subunit ribosomal RNA", at positions 28 to 506 of the family's 1533-position model. The record is from RNAcentral.
GACGAACGCUGGCGGCGUGCUUAACACAUGCAAGUCGAACGGAAAGGCCCUGCUUUUGUGGGGUGCUCGAGUGGCGAACGGGUGAGUAACACGUGAGUAACCUGCCCUUGACUUUGGGAUAACUUCAGGAAACUGGGGCUAAUACCGGAUAGGAGCUCCUGCUGCAUGGUGGGGGUUGGAAAGUUUCGGCGGUUGGGGAUGGACUCGCGGCUUAUCAGCUUGUUGGUGGGGUAGUGGCUUACCAAGGCGUUGACGGGUAGCCGGCCUGGGAGGGUGACCGGCCACAUGGGAACUGAGCUACGGCCCAGACUCCACCGGGAGGCAGCAGUGGGGAAUAUUGCACAAUGGGCGGAAGCCUAAUGCAGCAACGCCGCGUGCGGGAGGACGGCCUUCGGGUGGAAAACCGCUUUCGCCUGUGACGAAGCGUGAGUGACGGUACUGGGGAAAGAAGCACCGGCUACCUACGU